This 547-nucleotide ribosomal RNA is filed under the name Fusarium oxysporum f. sp. ciceris. RNAcentral's name for it is "eukaryotic LSU rRNA". The stretch from base 181 to 334 matches the Rfam family "5.8S ribosomal RNA". Lineage: Eukaryota; Fungi; Ascomycota; Sordariomycetes; Hypocreales; Nectriaceae. The record is from RNAcentral.
CUUCCGUAGGGGAACCUGCGGAGGGAUCAUUACCGAGUUUACAACUCCCAAACCCCUGUGAACAUACCACUUGUUGCCUCGGCGGAUCAGCCCGCUCCCGGUAAAACGGGACGGCCCGCCAGAGGACCCCUAAACUCUGUUUCUAUAUGUAACUUUUGAGUAAAACCAUAAAUAAAUCAAAACUUUCAACAACGGAUCUCUUGGUUCUGGCAUCGAUGAAGAACGCAGCAAAAUGCGAUAAGUAAUGUGAAUUGCAGAAUUCAGUGAAUCAUCGAAUCUUUGAACGCACAUUGCGCCCGCCAGUAUUCUGGCGGGCAUGCCUGUUCGAGCGUCAUUUCAACCCUCAAGCACAGCUUGGUGUUGGGACUCGCGUUAAUUCGCGUUCCUCAAAUUGAUUGGCGGUCACGUCGAGCUUCCAUAGCGUAGUAGUAAAACCCUCGUUACUGGUAAUCGUCGCGGCCACGCCGUUAAACCCCAACUUCUGAAUGUUGACCUCGGAUCAGGUAGGAAUACCCGCUGAACUUAAGCAUAUCAAUAAGCGGAGGAA